GACGAACGCUGGCGGCGUGCUUAACACAUGCAAGUCGAACGAAGAGCGACGGAAGCUUGCUUCUAUCAAUCUUAGUGGCGAACGGGUGAGUAACGCGUAAUCAACCUGCCCUUCAGAGGGGGACAACAGUUGGAAACGACUGCUAAUACCGCAUACGAUCUAAUCUCGGCAUCGAGGAUGGAUGAAAGGUGGCCUCUACAUGUAAGCUAUCACUGAAGGAGGGGAUUGCGUCUGAUUAGCUAGUUGGAGGGGUAACGGCCCACCAAGGCGAUGAUCAGUAGCCGGUCUGAGAGGAUGAACGGCCACAUUGGGACUGAGACACGGCCCAGACUCCUACGGGAGGCAGCAGUGGGGAAUCUUCCGCAAUGGACGAAAGUCUGACGGAGCAACGCCGCGUGAGUGAUGACGGCCUUCGGGUUGUAAAGCUCUGUUAAUCGGGACGAAAGGCCUUCUUGCGAAUAGUGAGAAGGAUUGACGGUACCGGAAUA
RNAcentral lists this ribosomal RNA (488 nucleotides) under Veillonella parvula. RNAcentral's name for it is "bacterial SSU rRNA". It matches the Rfam family "Bacterial small subunit ribosomal RNA", at positions 28 to 485 of the family's 1533-position model. The record is from RNAcentral. Lineage: Bacteria; Bacillati; Bacillota; Negativicutes; Veillonellales; Veillonellaceae.